Molecule: small nucleolar RNA, 73 nt
Organism: Girardinichthys multiradiatus
Lineage: Eukaryota; Metazoa; Chordata; Actinopteri; Cyprinodontiformes; Goodeidae
Product: small nucleolar RNA SNORD24
Exons: 1
Source: RefSeq, a predicted model, not a curated record
UGCAGAUGAUGUAAAAGAAUAUUUGCUAUCUUAACAUCUUUGAUGAUAUUCUUCCACCAAGAUCGCUGAUGCA